AGGCUUCUUGACGUUCUUAGUGAA
This 24-nucleotide non-coding RNA is filed under the name Arabidopsis thaliana (thale cress). Lineage: Eukaryota; Viridiplantae; Streptophyta; Magnoliopsida; Brassicales; Brassicaceae. The record is from RNAcentral.